AUUGAACGCUGGCGGCAGGCCUAACACAUGCAAGUCGAACGAGUGGCGGACGGGUGAGUAAUGUCUGGGAAACUGCCUGAUGGAGGGGGAUAACUACUGGAAACGGUAGCUAAUACCGCAUACCAUCGGAUGUACCCAGAUGGGAUUAGCUAGUAGGUGGGGUAAAGGCUCACCUAGGCGACGAUCCCUAGCUGGUCUGAGAGGAUGACCAGCCACACGGGAACUGAGACACGGCCCAGACUCCUACGGGAGGCAGCAGUGGGGAAGAUUGCACAAUGGGCGCAAGCCUGAUGCAGCCAUGCAGCGUGUAUGAAGAAGGCCUUAGGGUUGUAAAGUACUUUCAGCGGGGAGGCGUUACCCGCAGAAGAAGCACCGGCUAACUCCGUGCCAGCAGCCGCGGUAAUUC
RNAcentral lists this ribosomal RNA (406 nucleotides) under uncultured bacterium. RNAcentral's name for it is "partial 16S ribosomal RNA". It matches the Rfam family "Bacterial small subunit ribosomal RNA", at positions 30 to 526 of the family's 1533-position model. The record is from RNAcentral.